CAUUUGGGUUUACAUGGAACAUUUGGGUUUACAGCUUUCCAAACUCUUCCAAGAGAAUGAUGGGGCUGCUCUGGGAAGGCUCUGAGCAGGAAUCACAGGCUCAGGCCUUGCCUACAGCAGGAGGUGGAGGGAGAUCUGAUAGAUCAUCUGAGAGAUUCAGAUAAGCACUAUCUCAACAACACACAGAUGCUAUUAGAGAUCACCUUGGCCACUGCUAAGCUGUGCAGCAUUCCUGCCAAGUGCAUCCCUGAGUUGGAAGCAUGUGGCAAGCAAGGCUGUGCCAGUGACACUGGGAGCUUGGAACAGUGGCUGCAGAGUUUCUGCUCGCUCUCCAGUGACUAAGGAGGAGAGGAAAACCCAGAGUGUAUGAGAAGACCAAGCCCAGGAACUGAGCAUCCACCAAGUGACCCCACGGUGGACAACAAGAAGCUUCAGUGACCCUGAAUGAAGCUGCUGACAUUUCUUUUGAGCACCAUUGCAGAGCAAAUCUACCAAGUCACCUCAGCCUUCUCUGGGGGAAUCUGAACCACUUGAAUUUCUACUCAAGCACAUGAUUUGCUUCUGAUUAGAGAUAUGGGUAGGAAAAAACAUAAAUAAAGCAAGCACAGCCC
RNAcentral lists this long non-coding RNA (611 nucleotides) under Manacus vitellinus (golden-collared manakin). RNAcentral's name for it is "lncRNA (ENSMVIG00005013903.1)". Lineage: Eukaryota; Metazoa; Chordata; Aves; Passeriformes; Pipridae. The record is from RNAcentral.